CACGGCCCAAACUCCUACGGGAGGCAGCAGUAGGGAAUCUUCCGCAAGGGACAAAAGUCUGACGGACCACCGCCCCGGGAGUGAUGAAGGUUUUCGGAUCGUAAAAUUCUGUUGUUAGGGAAAAACAAGUAUCGUUCGAAUAGGGCGGUACCUUGACGGUACCUAACCAAAAAGCCACGGCUAAUUACGUGCCACCAGCCGCGGUAAUACGUAGGUGGCAAGCGUUGUCCGGAAUUAUUGGGCGUAAAGCGCGCGCAGGCGGUUUCUUAAGUCUGAUGUGAAAGCCCACGGCUCACCCGUGGAGGGUCUUUGGAAACUGGGAGACUUGAGUGCAGAGAAGAAAACCGGAUUUCCACUUGUACCGGUGAAAUGCGUAAAGAUGUGGAGGACCCCAGUGGCGAAGGCGGUUCUUUUGGUUCUGUAACUGGACGCUUGAGGCGCGAAAGCGGUGGGGAGCGAACAGGGAUUAAGAUACCCUGGGUAAGUCCACGCCGUAAACGAUGAAGUGCUAAGUGGUUAGAGGGUUUCGGCUCUUUAGUGGCUGGCGGCUAAACGCAUUAAGCACUCCGCCUGGGGGAGGUACGGCCGCAAGGCUUGAAA
Molecule: ribosomal RNA, 600 nt
Filed under: Bacillus sp. (in: firmicutes)
Lineage: Bacteria; Bacillati; Bacillota; Bacilli; Caryophanales; Bacillaceae
Description: bacterial SSU rRNA
Rfam family: Bacterial small subunit ribosomal RNA
Source: RNAcentral